UUUGGUGCAAGGGAAAAAAAAAGUUUAGAAUGCUCCCGUGCGUAGAGACUGGCUAGUAAAACGGGACAAGGUACGACUACGACAUUUUAUUGCUGUCGUCUGAUUGGGUACUCCAUAUACUACAUAUUAACUUAUAAUUUAAAAUAAAGUUACUACAUAUUAAACUAUAAUUUAAAAUAAAUAAACUUUUAUGUAACUUUUUGAAAAGAAGUAAUUAUGAUUGUGCUUCUGAGAAUGAUAGCUUUAAUAAAGUUGAUUUUAGUUAUUUCAUUUUGUUAAAAAAACAUGAACAUCUGCAAUAAAUGAAAAUUACCAAAAAUAAAUAUUUUUUUUGGUAAAAUAAAUAUUUGUUACGGUAUAUUAUUAAACAAACCAUUUUAAUGUUUUUUAAAUUAAUAAGUGAUUUAAAUUACUUAUUGUAUAAAUGUGUUUAUACUAGAAAAGAACAAAACCAAAAAUAUUUAGUAGUAUAUUAUUCUAAGCUGAUCAAACCAUCCAUUACAUUAUUUUGAUUUGGAAUUAGAAGUCCACGUGAGUGUUUAAUAAAUAAUAAUCCAUUAGAAGUUUCCCUUAGAUUUACUAAUUUACUAAUAAAUAAAAAAUGAAUAUAUUUUAAAAACCAGUCGGUUUAUAGUGUAUCCAAAAUCAAAAGCAAACCAAUUGAUACAACCUAUAUAUUGGCUCUAGCCUCUAGCUCUCACACAUUCAAAGCACGAUCUAGCCCUAACUUAGCGAGAGAAAGUUUCCAAUUCUCAUCGUGGAACCAUGGGCGAAGGGGGAUAUGACAGACGUCUACUGGAACAUAGAUGACUACCCAAUCCCUGUUGGUGCAGAUCUUGGUUCUAUUAGAAGUAACAUCAAAGAAUCUCUUCGUCUAAUGGGCUUUCAUGGGUAUGGGGACAUCAAUGUGCAUUGUAAGCAACUCAAGUGCGACGUAAAAGACGAGUUGAGCAAGGCCAGAAUCUUUUAAGAACCUAGCUUUAGAUAAUGAGAGUGACAUGCAGUGAGUGACUUCUUUAAUCCACUUCAUUUUUUUUCAAGUGUGUUUUUUUUUACUUCUUAAUUGGCAUAUAUUCUAUUGUGGAAGGUUAGCUAUUUCGCUCAACUGCCUAUUUGUUGAAUGAAUAUAGCUCUGUUUCUAA
Molecule: long non-coding RNA, 1142 nt
Organism: Brassica napus (rape)
Lineage: Eukaryota; Viridiplantae; Streptophyta; Magnoliopsida; Brassicales; Brassicaceae
Exons: 2
Source: RefSeq, a predicted model, not a curated record